GAGCCGUCCGCGGGCGCUGGACGGAGACCACGCGGGGGCACGGCGGGGCCGGGCUCAGCCCGGAGCCUCGCCUCCACAGCCCGGCGUGGCCGGGCCACGCCGCCAGGCUCCGACCCGCUGCCCGGGGCGGCCGCCCCUCACCGCAGCGCCGCGGCCGCCACCCUCCCCAACCCCCGCGCCCCCGGGGCGGGAGGGCGCCAGGCCCGUCCCCGGUCCCGUCCCCCGCCCCGGUUCGCCUCUCACCACGGGCCCCGCCAGCCGGGCCAGCUCGUAGCUCUCCCGCCGGGCACCCGCGGGCAGGAGGCGCCGGAGGCCCCGCAGGCACCGCGCUGCCGCGCCGCCCGCCGCCGCCAUGAGCCGCCCCGCCGCCGCCGCCGCCCGCUCGCUUUAUGGGCACGGCCCGGCCCGGCUCCCCGCCCCCGGGGCCGCGGGGCUGCCGCCUGUGGGCGGUGCGGGCCGGCACGGCACGGCACGGGCCCCUCCGCGCAGCGGCUGAGGGCUGGGGACCCUCCGCCGACCAAGGAGGGGGACCCCGACCUCCGUGCUCCGGCCGUCUGUCGGGGGGCGCCCGUGGGGAGGCGGGAGCUGGGGGCGCCCCGGCUCCGCACACACGUGUUGGCCGCGGCCCACCGUGGGUUUUUUCAUAGAAUCACAGAAUGGUUUGGGCUGGAAGGGACCUUUAGGGGCCAUCCAGCCCAGCCCCCCCGCAGUGAGCAGGGACAUCUUCAGCUGGACCAGGUUGCUCAGAGCCCCGUCCAGCCUGACCUUGGAUGUUUCCAGGGAUGGGGCAUCGACCACCUCUCUGGGCAACCUGGGCCGGGGUUUUACUACCCUCAGUGUAAAAAAUGUCUUCCUUACAUCCAGUCUAAAUCCACCCUCCUUUAGUUUAAAACCACCAUCCCUCAUCCUGUCACAACAGGCCUUGCUAAAGAGGUUGAGAGGUUGCCCCCAUCUUUCCUAUAAUCUGCCUUCAAGCACUGGAAGGCCACAAUAAGGUCUCCCCACAGCCUUCUCUUCUCCAGGCUGAACAACCCCAACUCUCUCAGCCUGUCCUUGUAGCAGAGGAGCUCCAGCCCUUGGAUCAUUUUUGUGAGUCUGGCCCCACUCCAACAGCUCCAUGUCCUUCCUGUGCUGGGGGCUCCAGAGCCGGACGCAGCGCUUCAGGGGGAUCUCACCAGAGCGGAGCAGAGGGCCAGAAUCCCCUCCUGCGACCCACUGCCCGCACUGCUGGGGAUGCAGCCCUGGGUACGAUUGGCCUUCUGGGCUGCGAGCACACAUUGUUGGCUCGUGUCCAGCCUUUCGUUCACCAGCACCCCCAAGUGCUUCUCCGCAGGGCUGGUCUCAAUCCCUUCACCCCCCAGCCUGAAUUGAUAUUGGGGGUUGCCCCAACCCAGGUAGGGGGGAUUGGGGACAGACCCAUGUGAGAGCUGUGGGCUGAGGACCCCCCUUACGUGUGUUGGUGAGGGACUCAAGGCCAUGCUGUGUGGGGAGCAGAGGACCCCCCUAUUUGUUAUCUGUCAUCUAAAGCCCUUAUACAUGUUGGCUACGGGUUGGGGACCCCCUAGGAAUCCCACAUAUGUUGACCAGGGGUUCAUCAGCGAUCCAGAGACCCCCUCCCCAGGUGGUGGCUACGGACUGAGGUCCUGAUUGUGGGGCAAUGGCUUGGGACCCACAAUGUGCUGGCUGUGGGCUGGGUCCCCCAACAUAAGGGCCUGGAAAGGAAGGGAUGUCUCAGCACAUCCUCCAGGACCAAAGGGAUGUCCCCUCUGCCAUCAGCAUUACGAUAACAGCAGGGGCAGCUGGCUCUAGGCAUCCUCUCCCUCCCCUCCAUCCACCCACGGGCACUUCACCAACAGGGUGACCUGGGGAUCUCCCUCGGAACCAGGAACUCCCACCCGGCAGGCUGGAGCCCAGCUGCCUCCACAGCGCAGCUAGCAGGGUGCGAACAUUUGAAGGGGGGCUACUGGACCCUAAGUUUGGCUGGGGCGCCCAUGGCUGCGUUUGCCCAGCACCUGGGAAGGAGAGGCCUUGGUCUGGGUGGGAGCUUGGGUUGUUACAGGAGUGAGAUUCUACCCAAGUGCAGGAGUUUGUAACCAAGUAGCUGUAACCAAAUCUAUUUCUAAUGCACAGAAAAUUACAGUGGAAAAUGGGGCUUGGUUUUACAGCUGUUUAAACACUGCCCUGGUGCCUUACAGCUUGGUGUCACCGCCUAGAAAUGUAAAGUCUCAUUAAUGUUUCACUUAACCCCUUGCUCCUUCAGAUACAAUGUGACAUCAUGAAAAAACGUAUAAUAGCAGUGGUGAGUCAUAGCCGCUCAUUUUACGUGCCAGGAUGAAAUCAGGGUAUUUCUGGACAAAAGAGUGCCUGGUGCUGCCACAAUCUGGUCUUGAGUUCCUCCUGAAUUUGGUCAUAGUCAAUGGGGAAAGGGCAACUUGCAAAAUUUACCUGAAGCCAUUUCUUCAGGACCUGAGUGUUUCAAUGUAGCCGGAGGAUUUCAUUUGCAGAUCACCAAAACCUUUUCACAAAUAGGGAGAGAACAAUGUAAAGUUCAAUGUAAGGUUUGGGAGCGUAUUUUUACUUUGGAACAGUUUUUUCUUCCUUUCGUGGUGUUCACAUCACCACCCCCCACCCUGGGUGGCUGGGGCCACCCUGAUGUGAUUUCGCAGUGUGCGCAGGCUGAGCUGAGGGAAACAUUUUGCUCUUCUCCGAAGGGGGAAAGGAGAGGAACAAACGGACUUGCAGGAUGGAAAUGUCCUGGGCCAACAUUUUCAGACAUGGAUGCUUCAAGUCAGAUUCUUACAUUAAUGUUUCAGAGACGUGAGGCCUUUCUUGCCCUGAGUGCUCAGCACUCUCACCAUUCAGGGCGCUCAGCUGCAGGUAGGACUGCUCAGCACCACUGAAAAGAGAUUAAAUAGAGAUUUUCAUGCUGAUGUUAAGACAGCCAGCGUGCAAACCUCAGCCACGCCUUCGGAGGGUGGAAAAUGGACUGAAGAAAUGACAGAGAAGGUGUCACUCCAGGCUCAUCCUAGGUAAAAGGCAGCAAGUUUCACUGGUGUUUGCUCCAAUUGGUGUGGCUUCGUGCAGGGCUUGGCAAGCUGGGGCUGCCCCUUCUCUCCGUGAUCCUUCCCUCCGCUGUGGCGGGCAGAGCAGCGGGCAGUUGGCUGCAUGUGCUGCAGCCCGUGCUGCCUGCGGGAUGGCACUGCAAUGGCAGCCAUGAAGAAACAUAGACGUACUUUGCAGUGCAUGACCUGCAUCCUGGCUGGUGGUGUGACUGCUGUCACCAGCCCGGCUGUGAGAUGGCCAGAGGGUUCCUGCAGUGUCGUUAUCUCAUGUGGAGGCAGGAGGGGAAAUGAUGUGGCUCAGACGGUGCCGUUCAUGGUCCUCAACAAGCAGCACAAGUGUGAGUCCCUUUGAAGUUUAACUUGUGACCCUGCUGAGAUCAAUACCCUGGGCUGGCAAAGAGGAGGCAGAGAAUCAGGCAGAAACCUGGGGGAAAGGACUUUGGAAAGAAUAGGGGGAACUUUAAAAAGGCUUAGGGGAGAAAUGUUACUUCCAAGCCCCAGGACCCAGGUACAGGACUAGCCCCUAGAAAGGCCCCCGACAUGCAUAGAUGGGGUGUGAUUGAAAUCCUCGUCUUGUGUUUUGCUGCUACUGUUUGAAAUCAAAUAUAUUUGUUUGCUGUUUAUGUGAUUACAUGUGGAUCCCAGUCUUGUUGGGAGGCAGAAUGGGCACCCCAGGACCUGGUCUGAUGAGCAGGAUCUGAUGACCCAAGGUCUCCCCAUCACCAGCACGACAGACUGGGCUCUGCUUCAUCCUCCCUGCUCUCAGAUUAGCCACAUGAGCUGCUGAAGGGGACGUGGGUCGGUGCAAUCUUGCAGGCUGAGCCCUGCACUGGCACUGGAUGCCAGCACAUUUGCUCCUUCCCUUUCUGUGAUGGAGGCAAGGACCUUGCCAGCUGCCCGGCGAGAUUCAGCAGGGCUCAUCAGCUGCAGCUCCCAGACAGAUCGGGAGGGUCAAAGGUACCUCUAAGCCUUGCACCAAGCUGCCCUCAGCAAUCCAGAUAUUAACAGUAUUGCAACACCAGUUAGAAGAAUUUGAAGGGUCAAAUUCCUUUGGAGCAGAACAUCGCUGAACUCGGUCAGUUUAGACCUCCAGCGAAUUUGGAGCAGUGUUUUGGAAGGCUGACACCUUAACACAGACCUGUUUGAAGGAGUUAAUGUGUGACCAGCUACAAACCAUCUGGAGCAGACAGAUGGCCUGCCCUGCUGGAGCUGGUUUCGGCAGCUGGGACCCUGUGCAGUUCUCAGCAAUGCUGAUGUGAAUCCAGAAGAAAGAAGAUGAGGGAAGGAUUGCAGUUGCUUGCAUGCUCUGUAGAGCAGAAUUAGGCCUUUUUUUCUGCUGAUUUCCAGCAGGGUGACUACCCAGGGCUUUCUCUAGAUAUGUACAUCCGUAUUCUGAAAGACAGCCAACACCCUGUUACUAAAGUAAACCCCACAAACAUACCAUGUCUGGAACCAUUGCGAUUAAGAGCUACCAAAUAAGAAAAAUGUCACAACACAAUGGAUUUACGUCAAACAUUCAACUGUUUGAAGAGUGUCUCUUUCUUUUAGGAGACCUUGCUGCUGGCCGAUGUCCAGAUACCAUGGAAAAACCACUCCCCUCCGUGCAAUCUGGAGUUCAGAAUAUAGCUAAAUUGAAAAGUAAAGAGCCUUUUGCAAUCACACCAGGUUUUAUUUAAGCGCCACACCGUAGGAUCAGGUGAUCAGAGCCGUCAGUGGAUACAGCACAUGGAUUUGGGGCUUGUCAACAGGGAGAACAAACCAGAAUAGCUGUCUUCAGAUAGCUCCCCUCUCAUGAGAGCUGACUGUGGAAGAAAGUCCCUAUGUUCUGGAGUAGUAACUGCAUUAGCAAAACAUGCUAAUAAUUUUAGAUUAUAGCGACCCUUACUGCAGGGUAGCUUCUCUAUUGGGUACACAGGGAUGGUUUUUCUGCUUAACCCCACGUAAAUGUUCUCAAGUCCAUCCUGCAGAUUGACAAGGCUUCCUUGGGCCCAGGAGAACUGGUGUUCCAUCGCUGCCUGCAUCUCCAAGGUAUAAUUAAUGUUCAAUAAUGUCAAAAAACAUAAUGUCUAGUGAUGUUUUAAAUGGUGCUGACUGGUGAUGCAGCUGCUGCACUGAAGUGGCUACAGGACCUGCAGUUACACGGCUGUCAGAAAGCCUGGACUCGGGAGCAGGCAGCUCUCAGCAGACUCAAAUCAUCCUGGCUGUUCUUAUUGCCCGUAACUGCUAUUUUUUGGCAUGGACAGUCACAUGAACAGGACUGCUCACACCAUUAUUUGUCCCAGCUUGCUAGUGCAGGUGCGCCUCUGUAAGAAAGGUUAUAGUAAAGCUCAAAACCGAUGUUUACAGUGGCUGGAAUUUGUCCAAAAGGCAGUUGCAUGUUUUUAAAAAAUAAAAAAAAAGGGCAACGAGCAAUCUAGCGUCACACUGGUACCCACAAGCCUCACACGGCCUCCGUGCCUCUGCAUUGCUGUGGAUCCGCCGCUGUGUGCUGCUGCUUGCCCGUGCCCUUGCAGUGCUGUCUGAGCUGGGAGCGAACCUGGGGCUCCUUUUGUGUCCUGGAAAGCUGCCUUCGCAAAGACCGAGACUAACCAGACUGUCUCUCUCUGCUGUUGUGUUUCACGUUGGUUCUCAAACGGGCAUCCUGAAUCCACGGCUCUGCUGCGGAGCCUGCGCACGGGCAGACCUCCUCCCACAACGGGACCCUCACAAGUGUCCGCGUGGCUUAACCUCAGUGUAGUCACGCCUCACGUUGUGAUGUUGUUUGCGCCCUCGCUGCUGAGAGCACACGUGCAGAUGCUCCAACCCAAAAGCCUCAAACUUCAGCCCCCCAAACCCAUCCUCCGGACUCAGCCCAACACACGCUUACGCGUUUAUUUUGCUUCACUGGCGUGUGAGAGGGGAGGGUGUGUGUUUGUGUGCAGAGGUGUUUGCCGGCCAGGGCAGGCGGGCCAGGAUCUGUGGCGUGGACACACGGACGUCGGUCCAAAGCGGCUGAGGAUCCGUGCUGCAGUGGGUUCUGUGGGCUUGCAGGUUACAGACUUUGAUUACAAAGAGUGAAUAAAUGUUAAAGCCUG
Molecule: non-coding RNA, 6136 nt
Organism: Phalacrocorax carbo (great cormorant)
Lineage: Eukaryota; Metazoa; Chordata; Aves; Suliformes; Phalacrocoracidae
Source: RefSeq, a predicted model, not a curated record